GAAUAGAAAAAACAAUGAAGAAGGAUAAUAAUAAUAAUGAAGUGACUGCAUAUUCUUCGCAUCUCUUCAAAAAUUCUCAAACUUCUUUUAAGUUUCUUUCUCAGGGUUUUUUUGUGUGACGAGAGAACUGAAUUGGAUUCCGGCUAAGCUGUGGAUCUGAUCGGAGAUUUCACCGUCGGCGGUGGCUGAUUUUGGCUAACCAACUGUUAAGACUGUGAUUUAGAGAGAAUUCGAUAUCUCAAUUCAAUUCAAUUCCGGUGGAGCUGUGGAUCUGAUUUUAGCAAAUGAAUUGUUGAGAGUGUGAUUUUGGUGAGAUCAAGAUUUGAUUUUGUGAAGAGCGUGGAAGUGCGAGGAGGGAGCCAUUGAAGAACGGAGCAUUAGAAUGCAGUGUGGGCCAUUCGAAAUUGGUUUCUCCAAAUUCUAGAACAUAUUCAAAGGCAUAUGAUCGACAUAAGAACAGGGUUUCAUCAAAGCAGCGUGCCCUUAACUAUAUAUACCUGAAAUUGCCAAAGAAAGGAUUUUCUCCGAUUGUCUCUUGUAGGACAUUAUGUUGGAGAUAUUGACAUUUCUUGAAAUCUUAUCUGCUAGAUGUUAAAGGUGCGCUGCAGUGAUCUUUGUUUUUCAGGAAUUUUUGUGAAAGGAAUUCGUUUGGCAGGACUUGUUGGACCUGACAGAAGAUAAAUCUAUUGUCAGAAUCGCAAAAUAAAUUCAAAUUGGAAGAAUUGUUUUACAGAUUUGAGAAUCAUUCCCUGCUUCUUUCGUCCCCCUCCAGUAGGUGUUGUGCCUUUCAAACGUGCAGAUGCCCGAGUCAUCCAGGUUUUACCAGCUUCCUGAGGCUUGACAAGGAUCAGCAACAUGGGUUGCCAGGUACCUGGUUUCCGAUGUCUUGCCUGCCUUUUGAACACUAACGGGUGGUUUUUUUUUGCUGUUUACCUUAGAACAGUAGAGAUACUGUUUUCCUAACAUCAUUUUAUACUCUCUUUUACAAGCCCAGAUGGUGUUGCUUCAUACAUAACAUGCAUUUAAAUGUAUCAUUUUGCUACAGUAUAUGAAAAAAUAGAAUGAUUUUCUUCAAUGUAGUUCUUCAUAUUG
Molecule: long non-coding RNA, 1092 nt
Organism: Populus trichocarpa (black cottonwood)
Lineage: Eukaryota; Viridiplantae; Streptophyta; Magnoliopsida; Malpighiales; Salicaceae
Exons: 3
Source: RefSeq, a predicted model, not a curated record